This 76-nucleotide transfer RNA is filed under the name Thermofilum pendens. Its description in RNAcentral is "tRNA-His". It matches the Rfam family "tRNA". Rfam says of the family: Transfer RNA (tRNA) molecules are approximately 80 nucleotides in length. Their secondary structure includes four short double-helical elements and three loops (D, anti-codon, and T loops). RNAcentral also lists the same sequence under 1 other name. Lineage: Archaea; Thermoproteati; Thermoproteota; Thermoprotei; Thermofilales; Thermofilaceae. The record is from RNAcentral.
GCCCGGGUGGUGUAGCGGCUAGCAUGCCAGGCUGUGGCCCUGGUGAACCCGGGUUCGAAUCCCGGCCCGGGCCCCA